GACGAACGCUGGCGGCGUGCCUAAUACAUGCAAGUUGAGCGCUGAAGGUUGGUACUUGUACCCACUGGAUGAGCAGCGAACGGGUGAGUAACGCGUGGGGAAUCUGCCUUUGAGCGGGGGACAACAUUUGGAAACGAAUGCUAAUACCGCAUAAAAACUUUAAACACAAGUUUUAAGUUUGAAAGAUGCAAUUGCAUCACUCAAAGAUGAUCCCGCGUUGUAUUAGCUAGUUGGUGAGGUAAAGGCUCACCAAGGCGAUGAUACAUAGCCGACCUGAGAGGGUGAUCGGCCACAUUGGGACUGAGACACGGCCCAAACUCCUACGGGAGGCAGCAGUAGGGAAUCUUCGGCAAUGGACGAAAGUCUGACCGAGCAACGCCGCGUGAGUGAAGAAGGUUUUCGGAUCGUAAAACCCUGUUGGUAGAGAAGAACGUUGGUGAGAGUGGAAAGCUCAUCAAGUGACGGUAACUACCCAGAAAGGGACGGCUAACUACGUG
RNAcentral lists this ribosomal RNA (497 nucleotides) under uncultured bacterium. RNAcentral describes it as "partial 16S ribosomal RNA". It matches the Rfam family "Bacterial small subunit ribosomal RNA", at positions 28 to 507 of the family's 1533-position model. The record is from RNAcentral.